This 76-nucleotide microRNA precursor is filed under the name Myotis brandtii (Brandt's bat). RNAcentral describes it as "mir-9193 microRNA precursor family". It matches the Rfam family "mir-9193 microRNA precursor family". Lineage: Eukaryota; Metazoa; Chordata; Mammalia; Chiroptera; Vespertilionidae. The record is from Rfam by way of RNAcentral.
CAUGGUGGGGAGGGGGUCCUCUCAGCCUUCAUUGCAAGAGGGCGCAGGCCAGGCUGGGGGACCCCACCAGUGCACA